RNAcentral lists this unclassified non-coding RNA (449 nucleotides) under Hevea brasiliensis (rubber tree). Lineage: Eukaryota; Viridiplantae; Streptophyta; Magnoliopsida; Malpighiales; Euphorbiaceae. The record is from RNAcentral.
UAACUUUGUAACCAUUUUACAACUAUUUUAUAGCCUUAUAAAUACAAGAGUAGCAUUGUCUCCACAUUGGACCUGGUUAAUCUAUAUGUCUAUAAUUUAUUGUUAGUAAUAGGCAAAGGUGUCUUGCAGGUCACUUGGUCAUUGGUGUGAAAAAGGCUCCAUGAGGUCUUAGGUUCAAACCAUAGCAGCAGCGUUUCCUUUAAAUAUUUUUGUUGAAUAGCCAAUUGGCCCGUUGUUACCCGGCCAGUUCACAACGGUCCAAAUAGAGUUUGUAAAAAUCAGGGUUUGAGUGUUAAACCAAACCGGACCAGGCUCCGGUUCCCCGCUAACCCAGUCCGACAUGCCAGUCCGGUAAGGGUUUAACAACAAUGGGCAAUAUGAUUUCAUGAAUUCAUGACGGUCAACAUGUUAUUCAGAGGCAAAAACAAGGAUUCAAAUUUGUAACACAG